AUGGCUAUCCACACCGUGCUUCAGAUGCUCCUGCUGCUUUCUUGCAUCACCACCACCACCACUACCACCACGGCUACGGCUCCAUUAGCAGCGCCAGCAUCCGAUUCUGGAGCUCCAAUACACCAAAAGAGCAUCAGGAAAUUCCCAUCUGCCAAUUGUCCAAACAAAUGCGGCGAUAAGGAUAUCAUGUUUCCCUUUGGCAUAGGCCCCGGCUGCUCUCGGCAGACCAGCUUUGAUCUCAUCUGCGACAACACCACGUACCCUCCGAGGCUCUAUCUCAGGGACCGCGCCAUGGACGUGAUUUUCAUGGGCGACACCCGCGCUCCACUGGUUUCCAUUGGCGGUGUAUUAAUCGACUUCUCAAUUGCCAUCUCAACGAGUCAGGGUGCUGAAGUGUACAAUGCAUCACUAAAGACCCCCUCCAGCAAUUUCGUUUUCGCUCUCUCUAACAUGUGGAUCACCGUGUGCAAUUUCUACAUCUACUUGAUUGGAAACUCAAACAUAAGUCCGGAAAUCCCGUUUUGCACUUCCUGUGACCCGGACGAGUUAGACCCCGAUAUGGUUUACGGGAAGAAAUGCAACCACAGACCAACCUUCGAAGCCCAUAUGGUUGCCAAUCCCGUGCAGCUCAAGUUUGUCCCUGUCAAGGAGGCCCACCAGCAGGUGCAGCGCCAAAUUGCGAGUGUGGUAGCUACGCUAUAUUGGAAUAUAAAUGACCAACAUACAUGUGCCGCCGCUUCGGCAGAUGAGACCAUUUUUGCCUGCGUGAGCAGCCACAGCUCGUGCGUAGACACCCCGUACAUGCCUGGUUAUUCAUGCUGUUGUGAUGUUGGGUACACGGGCAACCCGUAUGUACUCGGUGGCUGCUCGAGUGAUCACGGAUACAAUCCGUCAGCUCGAAGAAAUGUGACAUGCACUCGGUCUUGUGGUAAAAUCAAGGUUCCCUUUCCGUUUGGACUAGAAGAUGGCUGUUCCGCAAGGACCGGAUUUCAACUCUACUGCAACACAUCAGCUUUCAUGCUGCUAGAUUCAAUGACAGGAUAUAUCACAAACAUUAAUAUUACUGAGGGGUACAUGGACAUCGAAGGUACCUCUCAUGAUCAGUCAAACUAUGGACCAUUGUACAUUGCUGACAGAGACUCAAGGAGACUGCGAUGGGUAGUCGCAAAUCUAACUUGCCAAGAGGCACAUCAACAUAUCUCCACAUAUGCAUGUGUUAGCCCUAAUAGCGAAUGUUUAUAUGUCAACUCGACAACAAUGGGUUAUAGCUGUAAAUGCAAUGAUGGCUAUGCAGGAAAUCCCUAUGUUACUGGACCCGAUGGUUGUAAAUGCAAUGAUGACACUAUAAAAAUGAAGUGUGCUCCAUCGAGAAAGCAGACUAUUCUAUCAGGUAUUGCUAUUGGGCUUGGUAUUGGCUUGGGCCUUCUACUUCUUGGCUUAAGUGCAAUGUUUAUCCUCCGUAGAUGCAGAAGAGGCGUCCAAAAGAGACUGAGAAUGAAGUAUUUUACAAAGAACCACGGCCUCCUUCUAGAACAGCUAAUAUCAUCGAGUGAAGAUGCAAGUGAAAAGACAAAGAUUUUCUCUCUGGAAGAGUUAGAGCGGGCAACAAAUAACUUCGAUCACACACGGAUCCUUGGCCGAGGAGGCCAUGGCAUGGUGUACAAAGGCAUCUUAUCUGACCAGCGUGUAGUGGCUAUUAAGAAAUCUAAUGUCAUUGAGCAAGGUGAGAUUGACCAAUUCAUCAAUGAGGUCGCCAUCCUUUCACAGAUCAACCACAGAAACAUCGUAAAGCUUCAUGGCUGUUGCCUUGAAAGUGAGGUCCCACUACUAGUGUAUGAUUUUGUUCCUAAUGGUUCUUUGUUUGAAAUCCUUUAUUCUGAUCCAAGCAACAAUUUUUCUUUGUCCUGGGAUGUCUGCCUAAGAAUUGCUGCACAAGCUUCAGGAGCUCUCUAUUAUCUCCAUUCUGCAGCUUCCAUAUCAGUCUUCCAUCGUGAUGUCAAGUCUUCAAAUAUACUCCUGGAUGCAAACUACACUGCAAAAGUUUCUGACUUUGGUGCAUCAAGAUUGGUGCAUAUAGAUCAAACUCAUAUUACCACACACGUACAAGGCACAUUCGGGUACUUGGAUCCGGAGUAUUUUCGCACUGGGCAGCUAAAUGAGAAGAGCGACGUGUACAGCUUUGUGUCCAGCUUUUGGAGUUGCUUCUUAGAAGGAAGCCUGUUUUUACCAAUGAGUCAGGAUCAUCUCAGAGUUUAUCUAGUUACUUUCUUGGGGAGAUGCAGGCAAGACCAAUAAGUGAGAUAGUCGCUGCUCAAGUUCGUGACGAAGCAACCGAGGAAGAAAUUAUCAGUGUUGCCUCCCUUGCAGAUAUGUGUCUACGGAUCCAGGGCGAGGAAAGACCUACGAUGAAGGAAGUAGAGAUGACUUUGCAGCUUCUGCAUACGAAACGUUCGAUGUCAUCUCAUGUCACUCCAGAAAAUGGACGAGCUGAACAUAGUGUCCCGUCUCACUCAGGCAAUGGAGUCGAUCCAACCUCUGCAGACAGUCAACGAUGUUAUAGCUUGGAGCAAGAGUUCUUAUCAUCUGCUAGCUUACCACGCUAA
RNAcentral lists this ribosomal RNA (2603 nucleotides) under Triticum aestivum (bread wheat). RNAcentral's name for it is "partial small subunit ribosomal RNA". The record is from RNAcentral. Lineage: Eukaryota; Viridiplantae; Streptophyta; Magnoliopsida; Poales; Poaceae.